This 450-nucleotide ribosomal RNA is filed under the name uncultured bacterium. Its description in RNAcentral is "partial 16S ribosomal RNA". It matches the Rfam family "Bacterial small subunit ribosomal RNA", at positions 354 to 796 of the family's 1533-position model. The record is from RNAcentral.
GUGGGGAAUAUUGGACAAUGGGCGAAAGCCUGAUCCAGCCAUGCCGCGUGUGUGAAGAAGGUCUUCGGAUUGUAAAGCACUUUAAGUUGGGAGGAAGGGCAGUAAGUUAAUACCUUGCUGUUUUGACGUUACCGACAGAAUAAGCACCGGCUAACUUCGUGCCAGCAGCCGCGGUAAUACGAAGGGUGCAAGCGUUAAUCGGAAUUACUGGGCGUAAAGCGCGCGUAGGUGGUUUUGUAAGUUGGAGGUGAAAUCCCCGGGCUCAACAUGGGAACUGCCUCCAAAACUGCAUGACUAGAGUACGGUAGAGGGUAGUGGAAUUUCCUGUGUAGCGGUGAAAUGCGUAGAUAUAAGAAGGAACACCAGUGGCGAAGGCGACUACCUGGACUGAUACUGACACUGAGGUGCGAAAGCGUGGGGAGCAAACAGGAUUAGAAACCCGAGUAGUCC